AUGGUUGACUUCAUCUCAUCCACGUUAUCUUUUUCCUGCAUCUGCUCUGCUGGACUCUUCUUGGCAAUGCUCCCUGUGUCUUCUCGUUCCCGAACCCAGGAUGAAGAAGUAGCCGCUACACGAGACUUGAUGGUCUCAGGGCGGAGGUCAGAACACAAGAGCUCAUCUAAAAACCUCUGCUCAGAUGAGGCAAAUGGUUCAUCUAUUUAUGGCUCAUCUCGGCAAGUCACAAGGCCCUCAUAUCCAAUCAGUGACAUGAGGAUGUCUACAGGGAAAACUGGAAAAGAUGAAAAGGAAAUGGAUAAUUGUGAACAAAUGAUACAAAUCCAUGCCUCAUGAGGUAGAUACUGCUAUAACUCUCUUGAUAGAGAUGGAAAUUGAGGCACAGAGAGCUUGAGGACCUCUCUUGGACCUUGUCCUCUAUCUUCUUAGUAGUAGAGCCAAGAUUUCAUCUUAGGGAGUCUAAUUCCAUGAUGUUGAAUCAUUUUCUAGACUCUUCCUCUGGGAACUCUCAUUUUUGUCGAAUAAUCUGUAUCAUCUUGUCUAAAUUUUCAGCAGGCUCCAAUGAAAACAAUUUUCGUGGAAGACUCAAAUACAGGAAUAAUAACGCUUUUUGUAAAAAUGCUGUGACAGAUUUCUUCAAGAAAUAAUUCAUUAAAUUGAUGCCAAUUAUAACUUGUGAGAUCAUAAAGCUCAAUGCAGGAAUACUGAAAACAUGACAGUACUCUUAGGGCAGCAUAUUGAAUAAUUGGAUCUCUUCAGAGAAGCUCUCAGCUCCCUCUCAGAAUUGCUAUGCUACACUCUCACCUAGACUCUGAGAAUAUAAAAACUUAAGGUAUCAAAUAGUGAAAUGAGUUCAAAUUCCUGAGCAUUACACUCAGUUAAGGAAAUAUUUUGUGACAAAUCUUAAAAUAUUUGUCAUUAUUAGCCCAAGUCUCUGGAUUCAAAAGUUAUUUUAAAAUAACAUGGUCAGAAAACAGCAAUUAAAGCCAUAUGUUACAAGCCUGUUGUAGCAAGAAUUCCAAGUGAGGUGUUUUUGUCCUUGACCCUUCAUCCUUUUCCUACUCUCAUUUCUUCAGAACUGGCUCAGAUUUUCCUGGAAGAAGAAUUUUUUGUAAAUUUCAUUUAGGCUCAUCUCCAGAGAGGCAUGGAGAUCAGACCUACUAUAGACUGCAGGUCCCAAACACUCCCUAAAUAAAUAUAUUUAUAUACACA
RNAcentral lists this long non-coding RNA (1215 nucleotides) under Felis catus (domestic cat). RNAcentral's name for it is "lncRNA (ENSFCAG00000045453.2)". Lineage: Eukaryota; Metazoa; Chordata; Mammalia; Carnivora; Felidae. The record is from RNAcentral.